UGGCGCGGAGACCCGGGGCUGCCAGCCUUCCCGCUAGUCCUCCCGCGUGUCCGCCGCGCCCCGGGCGGGGUGGGGGUGGGGUGGCGCCCCGAGUGUCCCCGAUCGCCUCAGCCUGCGCCCCAGCCCGCCCCGCAGAGGUCUCAGCCGCCCAUACCUGCAGCAUCCGGGGGCGCCGGGCGCCCAGGUGGCCAUGUCGAUGAGAAGACGAGCUCUUAGUCCCAGAGACUCAUCCAAGUGUGGAGACACCAAGCAAAUUGUCACAACAGCAUGAUUCUGUUGUAACCCCAGGAGUCUGCAGCUGUGGACCAGUGGAGAUGCCGGGAUGAUUCCAGGGCCCUGAAGCCUUGCCAAGACUCGUGAGAGGGAAACCGGACACCAGAGACCCUGGGCAGCCUAUGCCGUCCCUGCCGAGUGUGAGGCUCACUCUGGUGCAUGUCACCUUGUCCCUGAGAUGCCGUGGAUUGUGUUAUUUGUGUUUCACCUUCACAUUACAGGUGAUGUCUUAUCUACGGAGCACGUCACUGUGCAGCUCAAAAGGGCACUCCUUAAAGGUGCACCUCAAAUAGUAAAGCCGGAACUUAAAAAGAAAUGAAGAAACUUUCCUUGGGUGGGAGAAUGGAUAAGGUAAUGAGUCCUAUGGAUUACUAGGAAGUUUAAAAAAUAACUUCACAGGGCUGGAGAGGUGGUCCAGUGGUUAAGAGAGCCGGCUGCUCUUCCAGAGGACAAGAGUUAGAUUCCUGGCACCCCCAUGGUGGCUCACAUCCAUCUGACUCCAAGGACCUGACGGCCGCUUCUGGCCUCCUUGAGUACCACAUGUACA
Non-coding RNA from Peromyscus maniculatus bairdii (prairie deer mouse), 820 nucleotides. The record is from RefSeq and is a predicted model, not a curated record. NCBI's taxonomy places the organism in Eukaryota, Metazoa, Chordata, Mammalia, Rodentia, Cricetidae.